AGUCGUGAAACCACAACUAUUUAAAUGCAGGAAAUCUGGAUUUUAUAAAAUGUUAAUGUGAUCUGCUCUGAGGACAGUGGGGCUGAGUGCAGCGGCCUGGCUCAAUGCAGGAAAUAUCCCCCCUCUCUGUUUCUACCUCUCUCUCUCUCUUUAUCCAUCUAUUCUGGCCAGCAGAGAGGGAGCCCAGCUGUGUUCCGUUCACCUGCCCCCCCCCCUCCUCCUCCAGGUAUGACAGGGGUCCUGACCAGAGAACCAGCCUGCCUCCUGCCCUGCCCAGAGACCAGAGAGCAGAGAGGAGAGAGUGAAACAGUCUGCGGUGCUGAUCUCGGGGUCCUCGGUGGUGUUGAAGGGGACUGGAGUGAUGCGUACAAAGGUCAACACACGGGAUUCUGGGGAACGUACCAACCCACCUCCAGGCACCAUGGCCUUAGGAUUACUGCAGAUCUGAGUUCAAGUAUUAUUGUUUUCUUUAUCUGGGCUUGAUUGAGCUUGCCUGGCACAGUGGAACCAAUGGAAUAAUCCCAAAAGUCACACAUCCUGCCCAGCUAGCUACACCAGGCACGAACAAUCAAACAGUCAAAGAAUUUGAAAACAAAAGGAUACUGUUUGAACCCAGGUCUGAGGACUACACCCCUCCUCUACCCUCCCCAGCUCCAGCUCCCUGGCCGUUGGUCACAUCAUGUUGCAGACAGACUCUCUAAUGUUUUACUACUGGAAAGGAAGCCUCCUGCCUCCUUUAGAGGAACAUCCGUAUUAAAAUGCAUCAAAGACCAGAGGAAUGAUGCAACAAACAAAGAGAGGAGAGGCUGACUGACCACAGCUGACAGGGCAGACAGCUGAUAGGGUGAGGAGAGGGUUUGAUCUCUCUCCACAGUGCGUGUGUGUGUACGUGUGGAGGACAGUGUGCCCAGGGAGGUGAACAAACUGUGUUUUACUGGAAACAGGCGUAACGUCUUCCUCUCUGAGACCUGAUUCACUUUUUGUUGAAGCGGGGCUGAAGCGUGUUUGGGUACACUUUCUUUCCACAUCCAGAAGCCCUCAGUGUUGGACCACAUCCUUAUACUAUUAUAAAGGUCUUUGCACUUCCUCACCAACGUCUCCAUAUUCUGUUGCUGUGUCGUGUUGCCAUAUUGACUGUAGUGAGGUGUGUGUUAUUACCUGAGUCCUGUAUCUAAUAUAUGGUAAUAUUGUGUUAUUACCUGAGUCCUGUAUCUAAUAGAUAGUAAUAUUGUGCUAUUACCU
Molecule: long non-coding RNA, 1242 nt
Organism: Coregonus clupeaformis (lake whitefish)
Lineage: Eukaryota; Metazoa; Chordata; Actinopteri; Salmoniformes; Salmonidae
Exons: 3
Source: RefSeq, a predicted model, not a curated record